Molecule: ribosomal RNA, 2132 nt
Filed under: Vibrio parahaemolyticus
Lineage: Bacteria; Pseudomonadati; Pseudomonadota; Gammaproteobacteria; Vibrionales; Vibrionaceae
Description: bacterial LSU rRNA
Rfam family: Bacterial large subunit ribosomal RNA
Source: RNAcentral
GUUGUAUGGUUAAGUGACUAAGCGUACACGGUGGAUGCCUUGGCAGUCAGAGGCGAUGAAAGACGUAGUAACUUGCGAUAAGCCCAGAUUAGGUAGUAACAACCAUUUGAGUCUGGGAUUUCUGAAUGGGGAAACCCACGUGCAUAAGCACGUAUCCUUACCUGAAUACAUAGGGUAAGGAGGCGAACCGGGGGAACUGAAACAUCUAAGUACCCCGAGGAAAAGAAAUCAACCGAGAUUCCGAAAGUAGCGGCGAGCGAAAUUGGACUAGCCCUUAAGCUUUACACGCGUUAGACGAACGGUCUGGAAAGUCCGACGAUACAGGGUGAUAGUCCCGUAGUUGACGACGUGUGUUCAGUGAAAUCGAGUAGGGCGGGACACGUGAUAUCCUGUCUGAAUAUGGGGGGACCAUCCUCCAAGGCUAAAUACUACUGACUGACCGAUAGUGAACCAGUACCGUGAGGGAAAGGCGAAAAGAACCCCUGUGAGGGGAGUGAAAUAGAACCUGAAACCGUGUACGUACAAGCAGUAGGAGCAGGCUUUGUCCUGUGACUGCGUACCUUUUGUAUAAUGGGUCAGCGACUUAUAUUCAGUGGCAAGGUUAACCAUCUAGGGGAGCCGUAGGGAAACCGAGUCUUAACUGGGCGUUCAGUCUCUGGAUAUAGACCCGAAACCAGGUGAUCUAGCCAUGGGCAGGUUGAAGGUUGAGUAACAUCAACUGGAGGACCGAACCGACUAAUGUUGAAAAAUUAGCGGAUGACUUGUGGCUAGGGGUGAAAGGCCAAUCAAACCUGGAGAUAGCUGGUUCUCCCCGAAAGCUAUUUAGGUAGCGCCUCGGACGAAUACUACUGGGGGUAGAGCACUGUUAAGGCUAGGGGGUCAUCCCGACUUACCAACCCUUUGCAAACUCCGAAUACCAGUAAGUACUAUCCGGGAGACACACGGCGGGUGCUAACGUCCGUCGUGGAGAGGGAAACAACCCAGACCGCCAGCUAAGGUCCCAAAUUACUACUAAGUGGGAAACGAUGUGGGAAGGCUCAGACAGCCAGGAUGUUGGCUUAGAAGCAGCCAUCAUUUAAAGAAAGCGUAAUAGCUCACUGGUCGAGUCGGCCUGCGCGGAAGAUGUAACGGGGCUAAGUAGUAAACCGAAGCUGCGGCAAUAUACUUUUGUAUAUUGGGUAGGGGAGCGUUCUGUAAGCGGUUGAAGGUGUGUGGUAACGCAUGCUGGACGUAUCAGAAGUGCGAAUGCUGACAUGAGUAACGAUAAAGGGGGUGAAAAACCUCCUCGCCGGAAGACCAAGGGUUCCUGUCCAACGUUAAUCGGGGCAGGGUAAGUCGACCCCUAAGGCGAGGCCGAAAGGCGUAGUCGAUGGGAAACGGGUUAAUAUUCCCGUACUUCUUACAAUUGCGAUGGGGGGACGGAGAAGGCUAGGUGGGCCUGGCGACGGUUGUCCAGGUUCAAGUGCGUAGGCUUAAGAGUUAGGUAAAUCCGGCUCUUUUUAAGGCUGAGACACGACGUCGAGCACCUACGGGUGUGAAGUCAUUGAUGCCAUGCUUCCAGGAAAAGCCUCUAAGCUUCAGAUUGUAAGGAAUCGUACCCCAAACCGACACAGGUGGUCGGGUAGAGAAUACCAAGGCGCUUGAGAGAACUCGGGUGAAGGAACUAGGCAAAAUGGUACCGUAACUUCGGGAGAAGGUACGCUCUUGAUGGUGAAGUCCCUUGCGGAUGGAGCUGACGAGAGUCGCAGAUACCAGGUGGCUGCAACUGUUUAUUAAAAACACAGCACUGUGCAAAAUCGUAAGAUGACGUAUACGGUGUGACGCCUGCCCGGUGCCGGAAGGUUAAUUGAUGGGGUUAGACUUCGGUCGAAGCUCUUGAUCGAAGCCCCGGUAAACGGCGGCCGUAACUAUAACGGUCCUAAGGUAGCGAAAUUCCUUGUCGGGUAAGUUCCGACCUGCACGAAUGGCGUAAUGAUGGCCACGCUGUCUCCACCCGAGACUCAGUGAAAUUGAAAUCGCUGUGAAGAUGCAGUGUACCCGCGGCUAGACGGAAAGACCCCGUGAACCUUUACUACAGCUUGGCACUGAACAUUGACCCUACAUGUGUAGGAUAGGUGGGAGGCUUUGAAGCA